CCUACGGGACGCAGCAGUCGGGAAUAUUGCGCAAUGGAGGAAACUCUGACGCAGUGACGCCGCGUGCAGGAAGAAGGUUUUCGGAUUGUAAACCUCUUUUGUCAGGGAACAAAGGCGGGGACGUGUCCCCGGAUGAGUGUACCUGAAGAAAAAGCAUCGGCUAACUCCGUGCCAGCAGCCGCGGUAAUACGGAGGAUGCGAGCGUUAUCCGGAUUUAUUGGGUUUAAAGGGUGCGCAGGCGGUCUGUUAAGUCAGCGGUCAAAGCCCGGGGCUCAACCCCGGCCCGCCGUUGAAACUGG
RNAcentral lists this ribosomal RNA (299 nucleotides) under uncultured bacterium. RNAcentral's name for it is "partial 16S ribosomal RNA". It matches the Rfam family "Bacterial small subunit ribosomal RNA", at positions 338 to 636 of the family's 1533-position model. The record is from RNAcentral.